CUAAUAUGAUGAGCUACAAGAUAGGGACAACAGAUUUCUAAGUGACGAGGAAAGUCUUUUUAAGCCCAGUUUUUAGUAGAGCUUUGGGCGCAAUCUCUGAAU
This 102-nucleotide small nucleolar RNA is filed under the name Torulaspora delbrueckii CBS 1146. RNAcentral describes it as "Small nucleolar RNA snR64". It matches the Rfam family "Small nucleolar RNA snR64". From Rfam's summary of the family: snR64 is a member of the C/D class of snoRNA which contain the C (UGAUGA) and D (CUGA) box motifs. Most of the members of the box C/D family function in directing site-specific 2'-O-methylation of substrate RNAs. Lineage: Eukaryota; Fungi; Ascomycota; Saccharomycetes; Saccharomycetales; Saccharomycetaceae. The record is from Rfam by way of RNAcentral.